Molecule: ribosomal RNA, 83 nt
Filed under: Salmonella enterica subsp. enterica serovar Schwarzengrund
Lineage: Bacteria; Pseudomonadati; Pseudomonadota; Gammaproteobacteria; Enterobacterales; Enterobacteriaceae
Description: partial 16S ribosomal RNA
Source: RNAcentral
UUAAAUUGUAGAGUUUGAUCAUGGCACAGAUUUAACGCUUGCGGCAGGCCUAACACAUGCAAGUCGAACGGUAACAGUAAGCA